Molecule: ribosomal RNA, 185 nt
Filed under: uncultured bacterium
Lineage: Bacteria
Description: partial 16S ribosomal RNA
Rfam family: Bacterial small subunit ribosomal RNA
Source: RNAcentral
ACUCCUACGGGAGGCAGCAGUUAGAAAUCUUCCGCAAUGGACGGAAGUCUGACGGAGCGACGCCGCUUGGAGGAGGAAGCCCUUCGGGGUGUAAACUCCUGAACUGGGGACGAAAGCCCUGAUGAGGGGGAUGACGGUACCCAGGUAAUAGCACCGGCCAACUCCGUGCCAGCAGCCGCGGUAAU